This 520-nucleotide ribosomal RNA is filed under the name uncultured Glomus. RNAcentral describes it as "SSU rRNA". It matches the Rfam family "Eukaryotic small subunit ribosomal RNA", at positions 569 to 1091 of the family's 1831-position model. The record is from RNAcentral. Lineage: Eukaryota; Fungi; Glomeromycota; Glomeromycetes; Glomerales; Glomeraceae.
AGCAGCCGCGGUAAUUCCAGCUCCAAUAGCGUAUAUUAAAGUUGUUGCAGUUAAAAAGCUCGUAGUUGAAUUUCGGGAUCAAUUAAUCGGUCGUGCCUCUGGUACGCACUGGUUUUAUUGGUUUCUCCCUUCUGACGAACCAGGAUGUCAUUAAUUUGGUGUCUUGGAGAAUCAGGACUGUUACUUUGAAAAAAUUAGAGUGUUUAAAGCAGGCUAACGCUUGAAUACAUUAGCAUGGAAUAAUGAAAUAGGACGUUUGAUCCUAUUUUGUUGGUUUCUAGGAUCGACGUAAUGAUUAAUAGGGAUAGUUGGGGGCAUUAGUAUUCAAUUGUCAGAGGUGAAAUUCUUGGAUUUAUUGAAGACUAACUACUGCGAAAGCAUUUGCCAAGGAUGUUUUCAUUAAUCAAGAACGAAGUUAGGGGAUCGAAGACGAUCAGAUACCGUCGUAGUCUUAACCAUAAACUAUGCCGACUAGGGAUCGGAUGAUGUUAAUUUUUUAAUGACUCAUUCGGCGCCUUAC